This 370-nucleotide unclassified non-coding RNA is filed under the name Hevea brasiliensis (rubber tree). The record is from RNAcentral. Lineage: Eukaryota; Viridiplantae; Streptophyta; Magnoliopsida; Malpighiales; Euphorbiaceae.
GCGAGACGUGAUUAAACAGGACAUGGUCUUAGAUAUGAGAAGUUAUGGAGGACAUAGAUUAGUGUAGGAUGAUAGUAGGUAGUUAAGCAUUGGCUGGUAGUUUGUUGUCCUUCAAUCCAUGGGUGCUACUUUCGACUGUCUCUUCUACUUCGAUUAUUGCACUAUUUCAUUGUAGUUUUUUUUCUUUGACAUGUUUUCUAUCGUAGCUACUUUGUUAUGCUGGUCUAUCAGGAACAUGCUCUCCAUCUUUACGAGCUUACAGAAGAUGGAGGAUGGAGAAAAUGGUAGUGCUUCCCUUACUCCCUUCUCGACACAAAAAACAACUUAUUCUUUAAGCCUUUUGGUAUUCAGAAGUUCUAGUGGUGAGUGA